Molecule: long non-coding RNA, 344 nt
Filed under: Homo sapiens (human)
Lineage: Eukaryota; Metazoa; Chordata; Mammalia; Primates; Hominidae
Description: HSALNT0131817
Source: RNAcentral
CAACAGAGUGAGACUCUGGCUCAAAACAAAAAGACAGUGACAUUCAAUGGAACUAAUACACAUAGAACACAAAAUUAUAGGUCCUAACUAUAGUAGUGGUAUAUAUGUACAUGGUAAUGAUUAAGUCAAACAUGGAUUAUGAAAGACUCACUUUAAAAGUACAGUCUUAUGGUGCUUAAAUUUGCCUUUUUGUUUUUAAACCACUUUAUCAAAGUGUAAUUGACAAAAGCUGUUACUUAAUGUAUACAACUUAAUAAGUUUUGAGAUAAGGAUAAGCCCAGGAAACCAUCACCACCACCAUCUGUGCCACAAACAUUCAUUCUCUCCAAAAUUUCCUUCCCUCA